AUAGAUUUUUAGUUGUUGUAGACUUGCAGUUUUAUGAAGCAUUUAGAAAAACAAGCACAUAGAAAAAUUUUUUAAACAGUUAUUAAAAAGUUAUAAAAUAGAGCAUUUUUAAAUGCAUCUUUUUCUCAAUGAACAUAAGCAGGAAAAAUAGUUUAUAAGCAUUUUUCAAGGAUGGUUUGUAAAUAUUUUUCAAGGAUAUUGGGUGUGUUUGGCCAUAGGUUUUACAUUGCUUCCCAUUUCAAAACAAGCAAUGACAACAUCCGUAGUUGCAUCCGAGGAUGUCACACCUAGGUGCUCCUUGCAUAUGCAAACCCGGGAAAUAAUGGUGAGAAAUCACUCUUGCUCCCCAGUCCACAAAGGAACAAGUUAUUCAGCACCUGCUCUGAAAAAUCUGGAAAAGAUGAAUGGAAAUGUGGAAGUCAGUGCCUUGCCUCCUCGGCAGGUGAACUCUGUGACUGCGGCAGCGUUUCCUCCCUCCCUGCCUGCCUCCCUCUCUCCCUGCCUGUGUGCUGGGAAGUUCCAGUGAAAUACUGCUGCUCUGGAAAGUCCUGUUCACAGGAGGAGACGUGACCUCUCAGCGAGUCAGAUCCAAUUUUACGGGCGGCUCUGAGUCAGGGUGGAGCCCGAGCACUGAACUUUGUCUUUAGGAGGAAGUGAUGUUGGUGGCAGCCCGUGUUGCUAAGCAGAUGAGUUGCAGUGUUUUUAUUUCAGCUGAUACUUUUGGCGGGGGUGUGACUUCAUUCUUAGAUAUGAUGCCUUCCAUUUAUUAAGGACAAAGGUCAGGAAUUGCCAGUGCUGCGAUAGCUGUGGCUCUCCAUGUGAGAAGAGGCACAUUCUGCUGAGCCGUCAAAGAUGGAAAUGGGAGUCCUUAACUCUGCUCCUGCAUGGUGAGAACAAAACCAACCCUGAAGCUGUCAGCUCAUGUCACGGUCCAAGAGCAAACGUCCUCACCAGCAGGGAUGAUGAGGAGUAGGUCAGUUCUGUGGCUUUGCUCCGUUUUUAUAAGAAAUCACUACUGUUCCUUAUUAAAGUGGCCUGGUCUUGUCUCCAGUAGUAGUGAGAACCAGAAGCCUCAGAAGACCUUGGUGAAGAACGGGGAGUGUAUUCUACUGCACCACCAUGUGCUAUCAGCUUUUCACUGCAUUUUUCAGCUGAAAACCUGGGAGAGCAACACCACCCCAGCUGCUGGCCCCUUUCUGGGUGACUGCACGGGCCUGGCUGCAUGGAAGAUGGUGAUGCCUCCCAAACUGCAGACCUCCCCUUCUCCCAAAAGGUGCCUUCCCCUAAACCCAAGAGAGACUGAGUAGGCCAGACAUGAAUGACACAACGUGGAAGAGUGUCAUACUUCCUCUGGAGAAGCCUGAAAUAUUUUUGCAGCUGUAGUGGCUCUCAUGGCCGUGGAAUCAACAUGGACACCUGGACUGAGGGAGCCAACAGCCCGAGAAGCUUUUGACAUGCACGUUGCCUGGAUCCAGCUCCCAGCCUACUAACUGUGUUUUAAAAGAGCGCAGAGGAAAAGCUGUGUGAGAUCCUGCGAGGACAGGACGCCUUCUCUCUUUCCCACGGCAAAGAUACGAGGGUGGGUGCAGUGAGCAGCCCCCUAAAAGGAGCGGCAGGAGCUGGAGGGGGAGGGUGUCCCUGCCCAGGAGCACAUGACUCUUUUUCCUUCUCCAACCUGCCACUAACAAUGAUGGUAAAAAGUUAUCUCGUCAAACGACUCGCUGAAAAUUCCUGUAAUGCCGAGUAUCUUUGCACUGGGUUUACGCUUUAAUCUCUUUAUACUUUUAAGACGCUUAUUUAGUUUCCAGAGCAGUGCGGGGAGGACCGCUAAGCGCGCUACUGGUAAUCACUUUUGGGUGGG
This is a long non-coding RNA of Junco hyemalis (dark-eyed junco), 1861 nucleotides long. NCBI's taxonomy places the organism in Eukaryota, Metazoa, Chordata, Aves, Passeriformes, Passerellidae. The record is from Ensembl.